Molecule: long non-coding RNA, 3653 nt
Organism: Oreochromis niloticus (Nile tilapia)
Lineage: Eukaryota; Metazoa; Chordata; Actinopteri; Cichliformes; Cichlidae
Source: Ensembl
AUGGUUGUCUGUCCCUGUGUGUUGGCCCUGCGACAGACUGGCAACCUGUCCAGGGUGUACCCCGCCUCUCGCCCUAUGACAGCUGGGAUAGGCUCCAGCGCCCCCCGCGACCCUGAAAAGGAUAAGCGGAAGCGAAUGGAUGGAUGUAUUUGGUUAAUUAGCAACCAAGGCUUAAUGUCUGUUUGGUACAAUUCUAGCAAGUACUUGGAAAACAGAGCUUUUCAUCUAGUGUAUAAUUCUCGUUUUGAACAGGGCUAUUCUAAAUAUUAUUUUGAUUUAACUUCUGAUUUUUGCCUAUUUAGAAUUGUAGUUUAAAGAUUUUCUUAAUUGCUUAAGUCUCAGUGAAAUUAAAAUACGUUUUCCAAGUGAUAAUCCUUCUUUCCGGAAUGGACUUUUAUCUUGUGCUAUAGGCUACACUAUGUACACUACCGGGCAAAAGUUUUAGAACACCCAAAUUUUUCCAGUUAUUUAUUGCAAUUCAAGUCGUUCAAGUCCAAUGAAUAACUUGAAAUGGUACAAAGGUAAGUGGUGAACUUUCUCUGUCUGCAUAAAAGCAGUGGUUGAACACACUGUGGUACCUCACCCUUGUGAGCAUCAGUUGAACAGUAGUGUGUAUUGCAGAAAGCAUUGUGUUGCUACAAAAAUGGCAAGAAAAAGGCAAUUAACAAUGGAAGAGAAACAGAUCACCAUAAUACUUAAAAAUGUAGGUCUUUCCGACAUUUUGUGUGAUAGGUGGCUCACAGGACAACAGCUUCAAGCAUAAUAGUGAUUGCAGAAAGCAAGUCUCAGUUUCAACUGUGAAGGGAAGACUUCGGGCUCCAGGUUUGACAGGAAGAGUUGGAGCAAGAAAGCCAUUGCUAAGAUGUCAGAAUAAGACAGAGAGGCUUGCCUGGGCCAUGAAACACCACCAUUGGACUACUGAAGACUGGAAGAAGGUAUUAUGGACUAAUGAAUCAAAAUUUGAAAUCUUCAGUUCAUCACUCAGGAUCUUUGUACACUGUCGGGUAGGUGAAAGGAUGGUUCCACUGUGUGUGGCACCAACUUUCAAACAUGGAGGAGGAAGUGUGAUGCUCUGGGGGUAGCCAUGACGAUCUUUUGAUUUUAUCACCAUCUUCUGGAGCGCUGCAGUGUAACACGCAAUGUGGACCUAAGAGCUUGAAAAAGAAGGAAACUGGACUUGUAUAAAUCUGCAAAGAUGUUUCAUCUCUCAUUCAAGAGACAAAGAUGGCCAUUUCCUGGUUGUGGGAAUAAUGUUUAAAUUGUAGAUUAUCCUUUGUUUUAUUCUUUAUGCUGCUGUAGUAGUCAUUUUAAUUGCAAGAUUAAUUACUUUCCAAAAAAGUCAUAUUACCUCAAAUCUAUCAAACUGACAGAAUCUGAAUUUAAAUCAGUAGUUUCUGAAACAGCCCAGAGGUUCUAUAUAUUUGAUAUCUACCUAAUCAAGUGAGCAGUGUGUGUGUGUGUAUAUUCUUUUAUUAUGAAUUAUUUUUUUUAAAUUUGAUCUUUUAUUGACCAUCGUGCCAAGGAAAAACAAAUCUGCAUGUGAGUCGUGCAUAUUUGCUGUCAACCAUUUUUGCUAUUAAUUGCUUAAUAAUGCUAAUUUCUGUGCAAUAAUAAUGUAAAGAUUCCAAACAUGUAUCAAAUAUGAGAAACUUUGUGUUAAGGGGUUACUGCUUUGUGUUAACCCAAUUUUUUAAUGUUCUAAUAGGCAAGUUCUUUAAAAACGUGACCUUACAGACUGUGUCCAUGAGUGUGUACAGGAACUUGUGCAACAAAGGAUGACCUAGGUGCAACUCGCAGCAGGAUUUCUGAGAAAAAUGUAGGGUCACAUGGAAAACAAAACCAAGACAUAAAUCGUACAACUUUAUUUUACGUAAAAACUCCAUUUUGCUUCUCAAGAAAACUAUUCCCGUUUUACAAUUCCAGUGACUGGAAGCAGUAGCAAACAUAUGAAAACAUGUCAGUUGUGAAUCGAUCAGUAAUAUUUUGUCUCAAAUUUAAUCCUGCUGGUUAUUGAGAAAGCCCCUAUAGAGUGAUGCUUUUUACGACUAUCAUGCAGUGAUCGGCUGUCUGUGAUGAAUCCAGUUAAAUGGCCCACUUUCACCUGAACUGUUCUGUUCUAAACAACCAGAGCUACAGGAAAGGAUCUAUUUCACCUCGUAGUGCUAUUGAUACUUGUCUGAAAAGGUAACCUUUUAGUUAAAGGGAGAGCUGUACAAAAAUCCACCACUCUAAAGGCACUCCCCUAAAGCACUAAAUCAGAGCAAAAAAAACAAACAUAAAAAACAAACAAAGAAACAAACCAUCCCACCACAUCCAGUUCUUGUCCCUUUGUUCAAAGUCAAUAAAAAUAAAUUCACUUCAGAGAAUAAUCACACUGACCACAAUGCAACAAGACUGCUACAAACAAGCUGGAAGGGCUGACACCUAUCAGCAUCGCUGUCAUUUGUUUGAACAUAUGCUUUGAGACAUCAUUUAAUCCACAAUAUUUCCCAUUUUCAGUAAAUAAUCUGACACAUCUGACUGUAGUAACAGUAGGGAGGGUGAGGGAAACGACAAUUCAGAGGACACCACUGUAAGACAAUUCAAAAGGAAGCUGAUUAAAAAAAAAAAAAUUAACAGAUGACUCCACAUGUUUGGGACAUUUAACAGAUACUUAAAUGAUAACACAUACUUCUGGCAGACAAUCAGUUUAGCUCAAACACAUUGUUUUGGGUUUUUUGUCAGUUUUAACCUUUUUGGUUGUCCUUCCCUACAGGAAAAACAAAAAACCUUCUACAGAUUUUACUAAUAAUGAAUAUUUCCUCAAAAAGGUACAAAUAACAGGAAACUUAAAAAAAAUAAUAAAAAUAAAAUACGGCAGUCAACAUAUACAUCUAAACCUAAUGCUAUAAACUGCAUAUAUCAAAUGAAUGGCUGCACUAGGCUGCCGACCUAAAGCUGAAAGAACUCAUCUGAUUUAUGAGGGCUGAAUGAUCUACUUACUGAGUACACGUCUUAAAAACUAGGAGAGACUGGGGUUUUUUUUUUGGUGGGCAAUAAAUUUGCUGUGGAGCAGGAAGAAUAAAAUGAGAUGGGAAUACAUUCAGUACAGCUCAGAUUUUUGCUUCUUCAGCUGGCUUUGAUCUCACUACAUUUGAGAAGGAAUUAAUGAAAAAUAAAAUGUUUAAAGUUGAGAAGGGAUACUGAACACAUGAGUCUGAGAGGAGAAAAAAAAAGUGCAACUGGCGAUGCAUUGAAUUUUGGUGUCAAAAAAUAUAUCAAACGGGGUUGAGGGGAACUGAAAAAAGAUAAAAAUAAAGCUAUCAAUCACACCGACUGUGAUCUGCUCACAGUAUCAGAGGGCACUCUGGAUACAGCAUUCAAUAUCAAACAAUACUGUAGGAAGAAAUUAAGAGAACAAAUUCCAAAACAUGGUAUAUUUACAUGUCUUCCUGUCCAUCCGGUGACUACUUAUCAAACUAAUAUUUUUGGGGGAAAAAAACAAAACAAAAAACCUCAUUGUGAAGUUGAGAGAGGGAGCGGCACUCUCACUGCCUGAACAGUCCACCGUGGUGCUGGUGACCAACAAGAUGUCUUCAUUUUUUCUGUCUGUUGAAUGCUGAGAACAAUCUGUAGGAUGAAUAUAAUUUCAUGAUGACUGGCUACCAUUCAUC